RNAcentral lists this ribosomal RNA (253 nucleotides) under uncultured bacterium. RNAcentral's name for it is "partial 16S ribosomal RNA". It matches the Rfam family "Bacterial small subunit ribosomal RNA", at positions 524 to 776 of the family's 1533-position model. The record is from RNAcentral.
UACGAAGGUGGCAAGCGUUGUUCGGAUUCACUGGGCGUAAAGGGUGCGCAGGUGGGUUUGCAAGUUCGAUGUGAAAGCCCCGGGCUUAACCCGGGAAUGGCAUUGGAUACUGCAGAUCUGGAGGAUUGGAGGGGGGACUGGAAUUCUUGGUGUAGCAGUGAAAUGCGUAGAUAUCAAGAGGAACACCAGUGGCGAAGGCGAGUCCCUGGACAAUUCCUGACACUGAGGCACGAAAGCUAGGGGAGCAAACAGG